RNAcentral lists this ribosomal RNA (240 nucleotides) under uncultured bacterium. Its description in RNAcentral is "partial 16S ribosomal RNA". It matches the Rfam family "Bacterial small subunit ribosomal RNA", at positions 118 to 347 of the family's 1533-position model. The record is from RNAcentral.
UGGGUAAUCUGCCCUCGAUUCUGGGAUAGCCCGGGGAAACCCGGAUUAAUACCGGAUAGCCUCUCGAGCUUUCGAGCUCUUGAGAAAACGGUAGCUUCGGCCUCCGAUCGAGGAUGAGCCCGGCGGCGGAUUAGCUUGUUGGUGGGGUUAAUGGCCUACCAAGGCGACGAUCCGUAGCUGGUCUGAGAGGACGAUCAGCCACACUGGAACUGAGAUACGGUCCAGACUCCGUACGGGAGC